UACAGAGGGGGGCAAGCGUUGUUCGGAAUUACUGGGCGUAAAGGGCGCGUAGGCGGCCUUCUAAGUCGAACGUGAAAUCCCCGGGCUCAACCCGGGAACUGCGUCCGAUACUGGGAGGCUUGAAUCCGGGAGAGGGAUGUGGAAUUCCAGGUGUAGCGGUGAAAUGCGUAGAUAUCUGGAGGAACACCGGUGGCGAAGGCGGCAUCCUGGACCGGUAUUGACGCUGAGGCGCGAAAGCUAGGGGGAGCAAACGGGG
RNAcentral lists this ribosomal RNA (256 nucleotides) under uncultured bacterium. Its description in RNAcentral is "partial 16S ribosomal RNA". It matches the Rfam family "Bacterial small subunit ribosomal RNA", at positions 524 to 777 of the family's 1533-position model. The record is from RNAcentral.